ACCACAAGUGUGUGUCGAACUUUUCAUGACCUGAUGACUGUGUUUCCCAAUCCUGAUCCUGGAGAACCCCAGCACUGCACGGUUUUGGUGUCUCUCUUAUCUGCCUUGGAGUCUUCACUGAUGAGCUGAUGAGUUGAAUCAGGUCUAAAAUAUCAAGCUCAACAACUCACUCAAGAGCCAACCCUCACAAACCUUCCUAAAAACUAAAAGAGCUAUUACUGAGUCUCAGCGAAUCUUGCCACAAUCAGCUCUUCCCAGAAGAGAAGGAAGACCAAGGAAAUGAUUUGCUCAGGAUGAGGAAUGAAGAUGGCCAUCUUGUGCUCAAACAAACAGAAGUCCACUGGU
This is a long non-coding RNA of Carassius gibelio (silver crucian carp), 345 nucleotides long. RefSeq lists it as uncharacterized. The record is from RefSeq and is a predicted model, not a curated record. NCBI's taxonomy places the organism in Eukaryota, Metazoa, Chordata, Actinopteri, Cypriniformes, Cyprinidae. The transcript has 3 exons.